RNAcentral lists this ribosomal RNA (807 nucleotides) under uncultured Actinomycetes bacterium. RNAcentral describes it as "bacterial SSU rRNA". It matches the Rfam family "Bacterial small subunit ribosomal RNA", at positions 550 to 1355 of the family's 1533-position model. Lineage: Bacteria; Bacillati; Actinomycetota; Actinomycetes. The record is from RNAcentral.
AUUAUUGGGCGUAAAGAGCUUGUAGGCGGUUUGUCGCGUCUGCUGUGAAAAUCCGGGGCUCAACCCCGGACUUGCAGUGGGUACGGGCAGACUAGAGUGUGGUAGGGGAGACUGGAAUUCCUGGUGUAGCGGUGAAAUGCGCAGAUAUCAGGAGGAACACCGAUGGCGAAGGCAGGUCUCUGGGCCACUACUGACGCUGAGAAGCGAAAGCAUGGGGAGCGAACAGGAUUAGAUACCCUGGUAGUCCAUGCCGUAAACGUUGGGAACUAGGUGUGGGUCUCAUUCCACGAGAUCCGUGCCGCAGCUAACGCAUUAAGUUCCCCGCCUGGGGAGUACGGCCGCAAGGCUAAAACUCUAAGGAAUUGACGGGGGCCCGCACAAGCGGCGGAGCAUGCGGAUUAAUUCGAUGCAACGCGAAGAACCUUACCAAGGCUUGACAUAUGCGAGAACGCGGCAGAGAUGUCGUUCUCUUUGGACACUCGUAUACAGGUGGUGCAUGGUUGUCGUCAGCUCGUGUCGUGAGAUGUUGGGUUAAGUCCCGCAACGAGCGCAACCCUCGUUCUAUGUUGCCAGCACGUGAUGGUGGGGACUCAUAGGAGACUGCCGGGGUCAACUCGGAGGAAGGUGGGGAUGACGUCAAAUCAUCAUGCCCCUUAUGUCUUGGGCUUCACGCAUGCUACAAUGGCCGGUACAAAGGGCUGCGAAACCGCGAGGUGGAGCGAAUCCCAAAAAACCGGUCUCAGUUCGGAUUGGGGUCUGCAACUCGACCCCAUGAAGUCGGAGUCGCUAGUAAUCGCAGAUCAGCAA